Molecule: ribosomal RNA, 762 nt
Filed under: uncultured fungus
Lineage: Eukaryota; Fungi
Description: eukaryotic LSU rRNA
Rfam family: Eukaryotic large subunit ribosomal RNA
Source: RNAcentral
GAACUUAAGCAUAUCAAUAAGCGGAGGAAAAGAAACCAACAGGGAUUGCCUCAGUAACGGCGAGUGAAGCGGCAACAGCUCAAAUUUGAAAUCUGGCCGCAAGGUCCGAGUUGUAAUUUGUAGAGGAUGCUUUUGGCGAGGUGCCUUCCGAGUUCCCUAGAACGGGACGCCAUAGAGGGUGAGAGCCCCGUACGGUAGGACCACCAAGCCUCUGUAAAGCUCCUUCGACGAGUCGAGUAGUUUGGGAAUGCUGCUCUAAAUGGGAGGUGUACGUCUUCUAAAGCUAAAUACCGGCCAGAGACCGAUAGCGCACAAGUAGAGUGAUCGAAAGAUGAAAAGCACUUUGAAAAGAGGGUUAAAAAGUACGUGAAAUUGUUGAAAGGGAAGCAUUCAUGACCAGACUUGGGCUUGGUUGAACAUCCGGCGUUCUCGCCGGUGCACUCUGCCAGUCCAGGCCAGCAUCAGUUUGCCCCGGGGGAUAAAGGCGGCGGGAAUGUGGCUCCCUUCGGGGAGUGUUAUAGCCCGUCGUGUAAUGCCCUGGGGCGGACUGAGGAACGCGCUUCGGCACGGAUGCUGGCGUAAUGGUCAUCAAUGACCCGUCUUGAAACACGGACCAAGGAGUCGUCUUCGUAUGCGAGUGUUCGGGUGUCAAACCCCUACGCGUAAUGAAAGUGAACGUAGGUGAGAGCUUCGGCGCAUCACCGACCGAUCCUGAUGUUCUCGGAUGGAUUUGAGUAAGAGCAUACGGGGCCGGACCCGAAA